UACAGAGGUCCCAAGCGUUGUUCGGAUUCAUUGGGCGUAAAGGGUGUGUAGGUGGCGCUGUAAGUCGGGUGUGAAAUCUCGGGGCUUAACUCCGAAACUGCAUUCGAUACUGCGGUGCUUGAGGACUGGAGAGGAGACUGGAAUUCAUGGUGUAGCAGUGAAAUGCGUAGAGAUCAUGAGGAAGACCAGUGGCGAAGGCGGGUCUCUGGAGAGUUCCUGACACUGAGGCACGAAGGCCAGGGGAGCAAACGGG
RNAcentral lists this ribosomal RNA (253 nucleotides) under uncultured bacterium. RNAcentral's name for it is "partial 16S ribosomal RNA". It matches the Rfam family "Bacterial small subunit ribosomal RNA", at positions 524 to 776 of the family's 1533-position model. The record is from RNAcentral.